AAGUCGUAACAAGGUUUCCGUAGGUGAACCUGCGGAAGGAUCAUUAUCGAGUUUUUGAACGGGUUGUAGCUGGCCUUUCACGAGGUAUGUGCACGCCUGGCUCAUCCACUCUCAACCUCUGUGCACUCUAUGUAAGAAAUGGUUUGAAACCAGCUUUCAUUAGCUGGUAGACGGCCUUUCUUAUGUUCAUUACAAACGUUUCAGUUAUAGAAUGUUUACUGUGUAUAAUCACAAUAUAUACAACUUUCAACAACGGAUCUCUUGGUUCUG
Molecule: unclassified non-coding RNA, 270 nt
Filed under: fungal sp.
Lineage: Eukaryota; Fungi
Description: partial internal transcribed spacer region
Rfam family: Eukaryotic small subunit ribosomal RNA (bases 1-46)
Source: RNAcentral